CCUACGGGCGGCAGCAGUGAGGAAUAUUGGUCAAUGGGCUUACGCCUGAACCAGCCAAGUCGCGUGAGGGAAGACUGCCCUAUGGGUUGUAAACCUCUUUUGUCAGGGAGCAAUUUGCGCUACGUGUAGCGUUAUCGAGAGUACCUGCAGACAAAGCAUCGGCUACCUCCGUGCCAGCAGCCGCGGUAAUACGGAGGAUGCGAGCGUUAUCCGGUUUUAUUGGGUUUAAAGGGAGCGUAGACGGUUAUGUAAGUCUGGAGUGAAAGCCCGGGGCCCAACCCCGGGACUGCUUUGGAAACUGUGGAACUGGAGUACAGGAGGGGCAGGCGGAAUUCCUGGUGUAGCGGUGAAAUGCGUAGAUAUCAGGAGGAACACCGGCGGCGAAGGCGGCCUGCUGGACUGAAACUGACGUUGAGGCUCGAAAGCGUGGGGAGCAAACAGGAUUAGAUACCCUAGUAGUC
Molecule: ribosomal RNA, 461 nt
Filed under: uncultured bacterium
Lineage: Bacteria
Description: partial 16S ribosomal RNA
Rfam family: Bacterial small subunit ribosomal RNA
Source: RNAcentral